Molecule: ribosomal RNA, 500 nt
Filed under: uncultured bacterium
Lineage: Bacteria
Description: partial 16S ribosomal RNA
Rfam family: Bacterial small subunit ribosomal RNA
Source: RNAcentral
AUUGAACGCUGGCGGCAGGCUUAACACAUGCAAGUCGAGCGGAUGACGGGAGCUUGCUCCUUGAUUCAGCGGCGGACGGGUGAGUAAUGCCUAGGCAUCUGCCUGGUAGUGGGGGACAACGUUUCGAAAGGAACGCUAAUACCGCAUACGUCCUACGGGAGAAAGCAGGGGACCUUCGGGCCUUGCGCUAUCAGAUGAGCCUAGGUCGGAUUAGCUAGUUGGUGGGGUAAUGACUCACCAAGGCGACGAUCCGUAACUGGUCUGAGAGGAUGAUCAGUCACACUGGACCUGGGACACGGUCCAGACUCCUACGGGAGGCAGCAGUGGGGAAUAUUGGACAAUGGGCGAAAGCCUGAUCCAGCCAUGCCGCGUGUGUGAAGAAGGUCUUCGGAUUGUAAAGCACUUUAAGUUGGGAGGAAGGGCAGUAAGCUAAUACCUUGCUGUUUUGACGUUACCGACAGAAUAAGCACCGGCUAACUCUGUGCCAGCCGCCGCCGUAA